GGGGCCGAAUGGUAUCGACCGGACAGGGAAGGUGUAUCGUUGCGCGUCGUGGAGCAUCCUUGCCACGUAAAAAGGAUGCAAAAACAAUAACUGCCAACCCGCAGUAUGCUCUCGCAGCCUAAUUGAGCUGUGCGUUCCAUGCUCGACGCCCGAUAGGGUGUGGAACGACGACAUCGGGCUACUUCCAAAGGGCUGACAGGCCUCUGCGGAGGGAAACUUCAGUCUGUCAUGGCAAUUCGGAAUGCUGUCGCCGGCAGCCCGAUGCGCCGAGAUCAAUACGGCGACUACACGUGUAGACGCGAUGCACUGACUGUAUCGGCACGGGGGUUCGAAUCCCCCCGGCUCCACUU
Molecule: transfer-messenger RNA, 350 nt
Filed under: Phycisphaerales
Lineage: Bacteria; Pseudomonadati; Planctomycetota; Phycisphaerae
Also listed under: 1 other name
Description: SKZB01 sp007693845 Standard tmRNA
Rfam family: transfer-messenger RNA
About the family: Bacterial tmRNA, also known as 10Sa RNA or SsrA, is named for its dual tRNA and mRNA-like properties. Its role is to liberate the mRNA from a stalled ribosome.
Source: RNAcentral